RNAcentral lists this ribosomal RNA (1067 nucleotides) under uncultured Gammaproteobacteria bacterium. RNAcentral describes it as "bacterial SSU rRNA". It matches the Rfam family "Bacterial small subunit ribosomal RNA", at positions 336 to 1397 of the family's 1533-position model. Lineage: Bacteria; Pseudomonadati; Pseudomonadota; Gammaproteobacteria. The record is from RNAcentral.
CUCCUACGGGAGGCAGCAGCUAAGAAUCUUCCACAAUGGACGAAAGUCUGAUGGAGCGACGCCGCGUGAAUGAAGAAGGCCGAGAGGUUGUAAAAUUCUUUUAUGGAUGAGGAAUAAAGCAGGGAGUGGAAAGCCCUGAAGAUGACGUUAGUCCAUGAAUAAGCUCCGGCUAAUUCCGUGCCAGCAGCCGCGGUAAUACGGAAGGAGCGAGCGUUGUUCGGAAUUAUUGGGCGUAAAGGGCGCGUAGGCUGUUAAACAAGUCUGUAGUCAAAUACCUCGGCUUAACUGAGGGAAGGCAAUGGAAACUGUUUAACUAGAAUUACCUAGGGGAAACUGGAAUUUCUGGUGUAGGGGUGGAAUCUGUUGAUAUCAGAAGGAACACCAAAGGCGAAAGCAAGUUUCUGGGGGAUAAUUGACGCUGAGGCGCGAAAGUGUGGGGAGCAAACAGGAUUAGAUACCCUGGUAGUCCACACCGUAAACGAUGUACACUAGGCAUUGGGCUGACAUGGCUCAGUGCUCAAGCUAACGCGAUAAGUGUACCGCCUGGGGAGUAUGCCGGCAACGGUGAAACUCAAAGAAAUUGACGGGGGCCCGCACAAGCGGUGGAGCAUGUGGUUUAAUUCGAUGCAACGCGAAGAACCUUACCUGGUCUUGACAUCCACGGAAGUUUUCAGAGAUGAGAAUGUGCCUUCGGGAACCGUGAGACAGGUGCUGCAUGGCUGUCGUCAGCUCGUGUUGUGAAAUGUUGGGUUAAGUCCCGCAACGAGCGCAACCCUUAUCCUUUGUUGCCAGCGGUCCGGCCGGGAACUCAAAGGAGACUGCCAGUGAUAAACUGGAGGAAGGUGGGGAUGACGUCAAGUCAUCAUGGCCCUUACGACCAGGGCUACACACGUGCUACAAUGGCGCAUACAAAGAGAAGCGACCUCGCGAGAGCAAGCGGACCUCAUAAAGUGCGUCGUAGUCCGGAUUGGAGUCUGCAACUCGACUCCAUGAAGUCGGAAUCGCUAGUAAUCGUGGAUCAGAAUGCCACGGUGAAUACGUUCCCGGGCCUUGUACACACCGCCCGU